UGCUUUCUGAGUUGUAAGCUUGCUCGUUCUUCUUAAAAAAUACUUUUCUCUUCAUUUUUAAAAUACUAUCCAAGCAUAACACUGCUUUCCUAGGCUACAUCCAAAGCAGAGGCAAGGGGCCUGUCUCCUCCCUAAAAGCCAGAUUACCUGCGUGCAAGUGGAUGCCAGCCAUUGGCUCUGCUAACAGAUGGUGGAGCCGCAAAGCAAAGUAGGCAGUGUCAGGCCCACAGCUGUCAUGUGCACAUCUAACAUGGUUGCCCAUAAACCGUUCGUUUAGAUAGACAUUCACAAAUUCACUCCCUGGCCCUGAUCUGCUGUUGUUGUUAUGUGCUGUCAAAUUCCUUCUCACUUAUUGGAACCCUAAAAAUUAGCAGCCUCCAAAAACUCCUAUCAUCAACAAUCCUGCUGUUUUGUGCUUCUUUUUUCCUGUCUUUACACCCAUCUCCGUUCAGGUGGGGCCAGGGAGUAGUGAUAAUCAAAGAUCAUGUAGGCUGGAAAUACAGGACCUAAGGAUUUUUGCUAGUGCCGGCAAGGCUUCUAAACAUUCCCCAACAGCCUGAUCAUAUCAUGCCUAUCCUGAAGCAAGUUUCUACUGAAUUCACUGGGGACCCUUUUCCUCAUAAAGAAGCCUAGGCUUUUGCCUUAAGUUGCACUGACCUGAUUUCACUGGUGAUUUGUGACCAAAUGAUGGCAGUAAUUCCUUCAGGAGAAGAAAGGAUAGGAAAUGUGCAUUUCAGUGAAUUAUAAGUAAGUAUAUUUUGCAGCUGCUGAGACUCAGCACUUAAUAAUUUCAAUCUCCCAUUUUUAAAGGGCUUGGUUUUUUAAACAAAAAAAAAAACAACUUUUCCAAUCAUUUCUGUUUUUAGUUAUUGUAAGCUGGGUCCGUUUUAUGUUUCCACCAUGUACGAGAAAACAGAGUAUUCACAACUGGUGUCCUUGGAAUAAUACAGUAUAGAGCACAAAGAGGUUUAUUAAUAAACUUAGAGCGGAUGAAAAGAGGAUUCUUCA
RNAcentral lists this long non-coding RNA (1008 nucleotides) under Pogona vitticeps (central bearded dragon). RNAcentral describes it as "lncRNA (ENSPVIG00000007880.1)". Lineage: Eukaryota; Metazoa; Chordata; Lepidosauria; Squamata; Agamidae. The record is from RNAcentral.